AUUGAACGCUGGCGGCAGGCCUAACACAUGCAAGUCGAACGAGUGGCGGACGGGUGAGUAAUGUCUGGGAAACUGCCUGAUGGAGGGGGAUAACUACUGGAAACGGUAGCUAAUACCGCAUACCAUCAGAUGUGCCCAGAUGGGAUUAGCUGGUUGGUGGGGUAACGGCUCCCCAAGGCGACGAUCCCUAGCUGGUCUGAGGGGAUGACCCACCAAACUGGAAAUGGGACCAGGUCCAAGACCCUAAGGGAGGGAACAGUGGGGAAUAUUGGACAAUGGGCGGAAGCCCGAUGCAGCCAUUCCGCGUGGAUGGAGAAGGGCUUUGGGUUGUAAAAUACUUUCAGGGGGGAGGCCGUAACCGCAGAAGAAGCACCGGCUAACUCCGUGCCAGCAGCCGCGGUAAUAC
RNAcentral lists this ribosomal RNA (406 nucleotides) under uncultured bacterium. Its description in RNAcentral is "partial 16S ribosomal RNA". It matches the Rfam family "Bacterial small subunit ribosomal RNA", at positions 29 to 526 of the family's 1533-position model. The record is from RNAcentral.